CUUUGGGAUAACCCUUGGAAACGGGGGCUAAUACCGGAUAGGACUUCUGGCUGCAUGGCUGGGGGUGGAAAGAUUUUUCGGUCUGGGAUGGGCUCGCGGCCUAUCAGCUUGUUGGUGGGGUGAUGGCCUACCAAGGCGACGACGGGUAGCCGGCCUGAGAGGGCGACCGGCCACACUGGGACUGAGACACGGCCCAGACUCCUACGGGAGGCAGCAGUGGGGAAUAUUGCACAAUGGGCGGAAGCCUGAUGCAGCGACGCCGCGUGAGGGAUGACGGCCUUCGGGAUGUAAACCUCUUUCGGUAGGGACGAAGCGUGAGUGACGGUACCUACAGAAGAAGCGCCGGCCAACUACGUGCCAGCAGCCGCGGUAAGACGUAGGGCGCGAGCGUUGUCCGGAUUUAUUGGGCGUAAAGAGCUCGUAGGCGGCUUGUUGCGUCGGCUGUGAAAGCCCACGGCUUAACUGUGGGUUGGCAGCUGAUACGGGCAGGCUGGAGUUCGGUAGGGGAGACUGGAAUUCCUGGUGUAGCGGUGAAAUGCGCAGAUAUCAGGAGGGACACCGGUGGCGAAGGCGGGUCUCUGGGCCGAUACUGACGCUGAGGAGCGAAAGCGUGGGGAGCGAACAGGAUUAGAUACCCUGGUAGUCCACGCUGUAAACGUUGGGCGC
Molecule: ribosomal RNA, 666 nt
Filed under: uncultured Micromonosporaceae bacterium
Lineage: Bacteria; Bacillati; Actinomycetota; Actinomycetes; Micromonosporales; Micromonosporaceae
Description: bacterial SSU rRNA
Rfam family: Bacterial small subunit ribosomal RNA
Source: RNAcentral